GACGGGCAGACUUUCACCUUAACUAUUCCUCUCUACGUGCUCUGCUGGAUUGCUGUUUUGGUUUUUCUCACAUAGAAUUAAAUAACGCUGGAGAUAGAACAGAAAAAAAAAUCUUUGAAAUAAUAGGUAAGUAAUCACUGCAGCAGAACCGUUGGCAACAGCCACAGUAUUGAGAUGCAUAGAAAAAUAACAGAAAAGUUAAAAAAAAGAAGGCCAAAAAGAGACUUGAGACACGUGCUUCAGUUUGUAGUACAGCACUGAUCUGAAAAAGCCCUUCCAUAUCAAUUGGAUUAACUCCCCUACAAAUAUGCUGCAGUGAAACCUACUCUGCAGAAAUACCUUUACGUAACAAAAUGGAACUCACCCUGCCCAGUAACUGGUAAAAGAUUAUCCAGACAUGGUUACAGAUACAAAGGGCCAACUUGCAGGAACAGUAACAAUUCUACAGUUCACAAAAGGCGUUUGAUAGAGGUGAACAUGCACAGCUGGGAAGGAGUACAGAAUGACUCUAUUCACCGUUUCAGGCUUGCAGACAGAUAGAAAUUACUUCUGCUGUUAGAGUAAGGAAAACCAGGUCUCAGUUCCUGGCUGGGAGCGACGGCCCUUCGAUUCAGGGAAGAGGUGACUACACGCACCAGCAACAGAGACGCCAACACGUGAGGCCGGGCCCUGCUCAGAGUGCAGAGCCAGCGUGGCCCACCAGAGGGCUCCACGUUAACCACGCGCUGUGCUGUGUCAGUGCCGCUUAUGGCAGGCAAUGAGAAGUAGGAGAAAUAAGCUGCAAACUGCCAAACACGCGUGCACUUCAUAGAAUCAUAGGAUCACAGAAUUGCUCAGGUUGGAAAAGACCUUAAAGAUCAUCAAGUCCAACCACAACCUAACCAUACUACCCUAACUAACAACUCUGCUGAAUCAUGUCCCUGAGCACCACAUCCAAACGGUUUUUAAACACAUCCAGGGAUGGUGACUCAACCACCUCCCUGGGGAGCCUAUUCCACUGCUUAACAACCCUUUCUGUAAAGAAGUUCUUCCUUAUAUCCAACCUAAACUUACCGUGGUGCAACUUGAGGCCAUUUCCCCUCGUCCUGCCACCUGUCACCAGUGAGAAGAGACCAAACCCACUCUGGCUGUAAGCACCUUUCAGAUAUUGGAAGAGAGCAAUAAGGUCUCCCCUCAGCCUCCUUCUCCCCAGUCUAAACAGCCCCAGUUCCUUCAGCCUCUCCUCAUAAGGCAUAUUCUCCAAGCCCUUCACAAGCCUUGCUGCUCUUCUUUGGACCUGCCCCAGCGUCUCAAUGUCCUUUCUGUACUGAGGUGCCCAAAACUGAACACAGUGCUCGAGGUGGGGCCUCAGCAGAGCUGAAUACAGGGGCAUGGACUACUCCACUGCAGAGAUGGGGCACUGAAGUUCUUGGAGAGAAAAGCAAACGGGGACAGAAGUUCACAAUAACUAUUUUUUAUUACAUUACAAUAAAUAGGAGCAGUACAGUUUGACCAAAAAAAAAAAAAAAAAAAGACCCAAAAAAAAAAAGACCAAACCCCCCCCCCCCAAAAAAAGACAAAUUCCAGAUCACCUCACAGCACGUACUCCUAAAAACAUUACAAAUUUUAAAACGAACAGAGGUUUUUUGUUUUGUUUUUUUUGUGUUUUUUUCCUUUUUUUUAAAUGUAGUAUCUGGUCUUACCAACAUUCCUAGGUCACGCAACCAAUGAUGGAAAAAACUGGAUCACACUGCAUAUGUUCCACAUCAAAUAAAGCACGAUGUACAAAAUGUGCAUGUUUCAGUUUACACUAUACAAAAAUAGUUAAAAUACAUUCCAGGUAAACAUAUUACAUUAAGAAGUCAUUCUAGUAAGAAGUUGGCACUCAAGAGGAAAAAGCAGAAGUAUUUUCAACAUGAAAACACGAGACAGUGGAAUAAAGAAAUGUUAGGAAAGGUUUACCAUCUAUGUAGCUUUAUGUAAACUCCAGACAAAAUGAUUGGUGUACAGUUUGAUGGUCUUUGAAGGUAAUCAUUGUAUUGCUUCACAGAAUGAAGUGUAGAAGAUUGUGUGUCUGUAUUUACCCAUUACAGGGAUCUCAUGCGGUGUGACUUCUUUUCCUCCUAAGUUAGGGCAGUGAGACUGGUUAAAAUAACAUUCAGCUCUGAGAAAACCAGUAAUAACGUUGUUUAUCAGCGUUACAUAAAGCUACUGUAAGAAGGUGUUGCUCCCUGACGUAUGGCAAUGUAAUGUAUUAACGCAGUAAGUGAUUCACAUAUUCAUUUAGCAGUUACUGCCAGAAAGGAUAGCAUCCAGGUAUGUCCUUUGAAAGCAUUUCAAAUAGGGAAAAGACAGAAUAACUGAGAUCAACUUGUGCAAGCUGCAAUCCAACAUGCUUCACCAAAUCUCUACAAAUAUUAAGACAAAACUGCACAACAGUGGCAAGGAUGGGUAUUUCUCUCUCUCUCUCUCUUUUUUUUUCCCCUUUAAGUCAAUUAGGGCUGGGAUAGGGCAAUUUUGUAAGAAUUUAAUUAGACUGGUAGCUACAGAUCACACUGAAAAAACUUGUCUUAUAUCCAUCUUGAUAGUAGAGCUGUAUCUAUCCACGCUCGAUUACUAAAGUAUUUCUGCUAAAUUUAUUUCCCCUCACGGUUUUUAGUUAAAUUAACAUGAGAAUUUUAAACCAUCCCCAGUUUUGCAUGCAGUGUGACUCAGUCACCAAAAAUCUGAAGUCACCUUAAGCUUGCUGCUGUUAGCUCAGGGUAUGCUAUUUGUUAUCUUCUUCAUAUACAAUCAAGAGCCUCUACAGUGUGCAAAUCAUAGACUCAUAGAAUCAGAGAAUGGCCUGGGUUGAAAAGGACCACAAUGAUCAUGUAGUUUCAACCCCCUGCUAUGUGCAGGGUCACCAACCACCAGACCAGGCUGCCCAGAGCCACAUCCAGCCUGGCCUUGAAUGCCUCCAGGGAUGGGGCGUCCAAAAUGUUUUUAGCCUUGGAAGCUGUAAAAUGUUUUAGGACAUUAAAAGUUUAUAUAUAUAUUAAGGGCCAAUAAGGAAUACUGAUACAAGUUACGUUCUCCUAUUCUAAUUUUUCAAUUUUUUGGUCGUAAUCUAAAAUACAUUUUACGCCGAGGCUGAAAAGAUGGGGGUCGGUGGGGGCUGGGAGAGCAGUCCGUGAAGGCAGAGAAAGGCGCUCAUUUGUUAACUUCUCAGGCACACGAAAGAACAUGCAGCAACCCAGACAGUACACUUCCCCUGCCAGCUUUGCAGCUCUCCGCCUAACAGUCACUGCUGAUUUUUGCUGUAGGAAGCAAAAUGAUGUGUUUCUGCAGUCGCACCUUUGACAUCAUCUAAAUGGUCUAAGUUACACUGCUAUACUCAAAUGAUACUGUGUAAAUUUGCCACGUAAUGGUUUAGUUAUAGCUUAAGUUAGGGCAAUGCUGCUAUUCCCUGUUCCAAACUUCCAGAACUUAGCAGCCCGCUGUCCUGCACUAUCCUCCUUCCUUCAGUGACUCCUGUUUUACUUUUGGUACGUGGAAGUCACGCUUUCCAAUUCUGUUCUGCAGCUGAUUGGGUACCGCUGUGCCUUAUGGAACUGAGGCAACUACUACAGCCUAGCGUUGUAACCUCUGCGGGAAGACAACAGGAACCGGGUGCAGCACUGGAAACGCUGCCUCUUACUUUGGUGCAGAAGAGCUAGGCUACUUCAGUACCAAAAAUGAAAGCUUCUGAAAAAAUCCCACGUUAGUUCUGAUCAGAAGGAAAAAAAAAAAAAAAGAAAAAGAAAAAGAAGCACAAGAGACUGAAUCACAGAGAAAGACAACAUUAAAAUCCUGGUCUAGUUUCAUGACAGUCUAGACAUUGGAAUGCCACUCGCCAACCAUUUAACCUGUGCAACAAAACUAGCACUUCACAGACGUCACACAAACAACACUGAGUCUGGAAACCAUGUUCUAUGCUGAAGAUUAGUGCAAAUUCCACACCAUUUUCAUGGCAUAGUGGAUUUCCGAAUUACUUGCAUGAAGCAGCUAAGUUCAAGCUCAUUCAUUCACUGAUUUGAGGUUACUAGAAUUUACAAUUCUGCUCCUAUUUUUACAUAAAAUGGGCAUGUGGAAACACUUCAUGCCACCCAGGGGGAAAAAAAAGAAACCCAAGUGGUUUUAAUUUGCUAUGUAAGUUAGGAUUCAUUCUGAUCUAAUUCGUGUGAUAAAUUCUGGAUCCACGUAUGAAGUAACCUAAGAAUUUGAAUCAGCUUAUCUAUUAAGGCUUCCUAAUAUUUCCUGGAGACACCGAGGGUGAAAUCCCGUCCUACUGAACAAAGCUACCUGAAGAUUUACCAGUGGGGGCUCAGGAGAGCUAAGAUUUCGCCUUGGUGUCUUCAGCCAGAAAAAGUUAAGUGAAAGUUUUAAAGCGAUGCGUUAACAGGAAAUCAAUCUAAUCGGAACGUUUACUUUUUCCAUUGCCAGAUGUGCAUUAGUGUCUCUUUUUUUAAUUUUUCUUUUUUUUAAUAGAAAAAAUAUAGUAUUUAAGGAGUGACUGAGACAAAUUGCAGUGAAAAAUUUCUUUUGUGAAAGUUUUUAUCUUUACAUUCAAUAAAGUUGAUCUGAAAUGCUACAAGACUAGAUGCCUAGAAGCAAAAUCUACAGGAAGACUAUAAAGGCUUCUGGUCUCUCUCUAUUGCAGUCAGUCGAAAUUAGAAGGAAGUCUGAAAAUAAAGUCUUUGUCACUAACUGGUCCGUUUUCCCAACCAGAUGUAAAAAAUAAGAGAGUACAAAUGAAGGGGGAUGUUAGAACGUGUAGAUCGUUUCAUUGUUUUGUUUACGCACGGAACAGAAGUUCACAAUCAGUAAGAAAAAUAGGAAGUUAGCAACUGUGCAUGCACCAAAGAGUCCUAAGACAGUUCUCAGGUUUUUGUUUUUUUUUUUUUCUCAUUUGUUUUUAUUUUUCUUCACAGGCAUUGCUAGUUCAAGAACCAACACUCAAAGAAUACUGGCACUUUAAGAGGAAUGAAGUUUCCACUGUCAUUUAAAACAAGCAUUCAGAAGGCAUCAUCAACACCCUAAAAAGACACACAGAUACACACAUUACGAUCACUUCAACAGACUUGGCUGCCUGCUUAUAUACAGCCUCGUUUCAUCUGAGCUGACCAGGUGAAGUGUUUUCAAUCAGCAGCCUGCUCUGCAGGAGGCUGUCAGGAGAGGCUUUACAACACCCCAAGAGCAGGCUGUGGGCUGUAGGAGUUGCCAGGACACCAACACGCUCUUGAGCAUCCCUGGAUUUGGGGAAUGGCCACGUUGAGAAAAACUGAGAUGGUGGGGGGUCUGCAACUGUCUCCCGUUGCAUGAGAAGGACACAUCUGAUGGCAUCGCUGUGUGCAGCCCUGCAGGAGAGCAGCUCUAGGGAGCAGGUGGCCACUGUGUGAGCAGUUCCUCCUGCCUGCAGGCUGAGGAUCAGCCACAUUUAGAUUACAAGGAUGUAUGGUACUACUGCUGGAUUUCAGAAUAAAGCUCUGAAGCAUUUGUUA
This is a long non-coding RNA of Gallus gallus (chicken), 5501 nucleotides long. RefSeq lists it as uncharacterized. The record is from RefSeq and is a predicted model, not a curated record. The transcript is spliced from 3 exons. Lineage: Eukaryota; Metazoa; Chordata; Aves; Galliformes; Phasianidae.